Molecule: long non-coding RNA, 1366 nt
Organism: Raphanus sativus (radish)
Lineage: Eukaryota; Viridiplantae; Streptophyta; Magnoliopsida; Brassicales; Brassicaceae
Exons: 8
Source: RefSeq, a predicted model, not a curated record
CGGAGUCAAAAUUAUACUUCCAUUUGAUUUAUUUCUGGGAGGCAGGUAGCAGUGCCAAAGGUAGCUCUAAUUGGCUUAGAGCUGCUCAUCAUUGAGAAACAGGUUCCACGUUCAUGAGGAUUUUGAAUCUAACUGUGGACUCAGGGGAGACCUCUACGAUGUUGUUGGCUACAUGAAGCUACUGAAUGGACAACUGCUCAUUCACCGUCCGUCCUUGACGACAUGGAAAUUAGCGAACACAAGGCGUGUUCUAAUUCACUUACAAACUUAAGAGUAAGCUGUCUCCAUGUAUUUAAAUAAUGUCUUCUCUCUUUGAAUAUUUAAGUUUCUUGCUCUCAAACAAAUAGAAUUUAACCACCAUGAAUCAACAUUUGCAAAGGCAGAAACAACUUUCUAAACGUUCACGGCCAGUGCCGCCACUCCCGUCAUCCUUUUAGUGACAACUGUGAAUCCAAAAUUUUGUCCAUCUGAUUCCACGUUUUGAUGUCUGACCCAUAAACAACAGGGGCCCUUGCCCUCAGCUCAAUGUCAUCAUCACAUGUUUCUUCGACAAAGAUUCCAAACCACAGUCGGCUACUUCAGUUGUUGAAUUCUAACUCGGAUAUGCUAAGAACGUGAAUGUAUAGGUGGUGACUAAGGCUAAGACAAUGACAAAUGGAAAAAUCUUUUCUUAUAUCAAGCAAGGAUCAGCCAAGCUAUUGCAAAACAAAGGCCAACAAAAGGCCCUUCUUUAUUGAUGUGCUCUAAAUGUGGCAAUGAAAACGUAACCAGAGUCAUAAAUGGUAUCUUUCUAAGACCUUUGUCUAGGACAAUAACGACAGGGUUGUGAUUAUGUUACUUGGAUUCAGGCCGUGAGCUAACUGGAAAGCUAAUGGGGAUCUUGGUACUGACCAUGAAUGGCUGUUCUACAAACUUUGAUCGACACCAUUGGUCAAACACAUAGGUUCAAGGUGAAAGUUUAUGAAUAAAACUUAGAAGGACUCUGGCUAUAACAACUAUGAAAGUUGUCUCUCCCUUAGUCCUGCAACCUUUAACAUCCCAGUUGGAAUCCCAUUUGCCAUUGCUUCCGAAGUGCUUCUGUUUUCUGCAAGUGAUUAGGGUGAGUCCUCCAAAGACUGGAGACCUGGCUGAUGGAGAAAACGCCAGUACAAGUAGCUGUUACAAAGCACAGAGAGGAAAACAUGCUUAACUUGGUUAAUAGAGUAUUAAUCACUCAUUUAAUAGAUUGCAUUCAUGUGUAGGAGUGCAACUUAUCUUUUCGUUUUUAAAUCUGAGCUUUUGCUAAGUUUUUCUAAUAUCCUUUAAGUAUGGCUUUACAUAAUAUAUUUGCAAGCAGAUGAGUCAAUUGGAAUUACUUUAAUGGUUA